RNAcentral lists this ribosomal RNA (255 nucleotides) under uncultured bacterium. RNAcentral's name for it is "partial 16S ribosomal RNA". It matches the Rfam family "Bacterial small subunit ribosomal RNA", at positions 524 to 776 of the family's 1533-position model. The record is from RNAcentral.
UACGAAGGGGGCUAGCGUUGUUCGGAGUUACUGGGCGUAAAGGGUGUGUAGGCGGUUCUUUAAGUUUGCUGUGAAAUCUCCCGGCUUAACCGGGAGGGUGCGGUGAAUACUGAGGGACUAGAGUACGGGGAGAGGAAAGUGGAAUUCCUGGUGUAGCGGUGAAAUGCGUAGAUAUCAGGAGGAACACCGGUGGUGUAGACGGCUUUCUGGACCGACACUGACGCUGGAGACACGAAAGCGUGGGUAGCAAACAGG